GUGGGGAAUUUUGGACAAUGGGCGCAAGCCUGAUCCAGCAAUGCCGCGUGCAGGAAGAAGGCCUUCGGGUUGUAAACUGCUUUUGUACGGAACGAAACGGUCCUGGCUAAUACCCGGGGCUAAUGACGGUACCGUAAGAAUAAGCACCGGCUAACUACGUGCCAGCAGCCGCGGUAAUACGUAGGGUGCGAGCGUUAAUCGGAAUUACUGGGCGUAAAGCGUGCGCAGGCGGUGCUGUAAGACAGGCGUGAAAUCCCCGGGCUCAACCUGGGAAUUGCGCUUGUGACUGCAGUGCUGGAGUGCGGCAGAGGGGGAUGGAAUUCCGCGUGUAGCAGUGAAAUGCGUAGAUAUGCGGAGGAACACCGAUGGCGAAGGCAAUCCCCUGGGCCUGCACUGACGCUCAUGCACGAAAGCGUGGGGAGCAAACAGGAUUAGAUACCCGGGUAGUCC
RNAcentral lists this ribosomal RNA (450 nucleotides) under uncultured bacterium. RNAcentral describes it as "partial 16S ribosomal RNA". It matches the Rfam family "Bacterial small subunit ribosomal RNA", at positions 354 to 796 of the family's 1533-position model. The record is from RNAcentral.